This 62-nucleotide transfer RNA is filed under the name human gut metagenome. It matches the Rfam family "tRNA", at positions 7 to 64 of the family's 71-position model. Rfam says of the family: Transfer RNA (tRNA) molecules are approximately 80 nucleotides in length. The record is from RNAcentral.
UUGUAGCUCAGUUGGUAGAGCAGCAGCCUCGUAAUCUGCAGGUCGGCGGUUCAAUUCCGCCC